GCUUCUGUAGCUCAGUUGGUUAGAGCGCUGCACCGGAAUCGCAGGGCCGUAGGUUCAAUAUUAAUCCUACCAGAGGAC
Molecule: transfer RNA, 78 nt
Filed under: Paramuricea clavata
Lineage: Eukaryota; Metazoa; Cnidaria; Anthozoa; Malacalcyonacea; Plexauridae
Description: tRNA-Ser
Rfam family: tRNA
About the family: Transfer RNA (tRNA) molecules are approximately 80 nucleotides in length.
Source: RNAcentral